AUUUUAAGCGACUUAGGUUUAUCCAAAAACGCUUAUUUUGCUAGUGGCCACCACAAUUUAUUUCAUAACUUUGACCUCAAAUCAGGUAGGACUACCCGCUGAACUUAAGCAUAU
Molecule: ribosomal RNA, 114 nt
Filed under: Candida tropicalis
Lineage: Eukaryota; Fungi; Ascomycota; Pichiomycetes; Serinales; Debaryomycetaceae
Description: partial 28S ribosomal RNA
Source: RNAcentral